Molecule: long non-coding RNA, 371 nt
Filed under: Ficedula albicollis (Collared flycatcher)
Lineage: Eukaryota; Metazoa; Chordata; Aves; Passeriformes; Muscicapidae
Description: lncRNA (ENSFALG00000024800.1)
Source: RNAcentral
ACCCUGAGACCCCAGACCCACAUUAAACCCAGAGUCCUCCCCGAGUGCCCUGAGAUCCCAGAAGCAAAUUAACACCAGUGCCCAACCUGAGCGCCCUGAGAUACCAGGCCCAAAUGGGGUACAGAGCGCUCCCUGAGCGCCCUGAGACCCCAGACCCAAAUUAACCACAGAGCCCUCCCCGAGUGCCCUGAGACCCCAGACCCACAUUAAGCCCAGAGCCCUCCCCGUGUGCCCUGAGACCCCAGACCCAAAUACACACCAGAGCCCUCCCUGAGUGCCCUGAGGCUCCAGACCCAAAUUAACCCGGGAGCCCUCCCCGAGUUCCCUGAGACCCCAGACACAAAUUCACCCCAGAGCCCUCUCCGAGUGCA